GGGGCAUUACGACAUGCGAUAUACAUGCAAGUCGAGCGGACAGAAGGGAGCUUGCUCCCGGAUGUUAGCGGCGGACGGGUGAGUAACACGUGGGUAACCUGCCUGUAAGACUGGGAUAACUCCGGGAAACCGGAGCUAAUACCGGAUGCUUCCUUGAACCGCAUGGUUCAAGGAUGAAAGACGGUUUCGGCUGUCACUUACAGAUGGACCCGCGGCGCAUUAGCUAGUUGGUGGGGUAAUGGCUCACCAAGGCGACGAUGCGUAGCCGACCUGAGAGGGUGAUCGGCCACACUGGGACUGAGACACGGCCCAGACUCCUACGGGAGGCAGCAGUAGGGAAUCUUCCGCAAUGGACGAAAGUCUGACGGAACAACGCCGCGUGAGUGAUGAAGGUUUUCGGAUCGUAAAGCUCUGUUGUUAGGGAAGAACAAGUGCCAGAGUAACUGCUCGCACCUUGACGGUACCUAACCAGAAAGCCACGGCUAACUACGUGCCAGCAGCCGCGGUAAUACGUAGGUGGGAAGCGUUGUCCGGAAUUAUUGGGCGUAAAGGGCUCGCAGGCGGUUUCUUAAGUCUGAUGUGAAAGCCCCCGGCUCAACCGGGGAGGGUCAUUGGAAACUGGGAAACUUGAGUGCAGAAAAGGAGAGUGGAAUUCCACGUGUAGCGGUGAAAUGCGUAGAGAUGUGGAGGAACACCAGUGGCGAAAGCGACUCUCUGGUCUGUAACUGACGCUGAGGAGCGAAAGCGUGGGGAGCGAACAGGAUUAGAUACCCUGGUAGUCCACGCCGUAUACGAUGAGUGCUAAGUGUGAUGGGGUUUCCGCCCCUUAGUGCUGCAGCUAACGCAUUAAGCACUCCGCCUGGGGAGUACAGUCGCAAGACUGAAACUCAAAGGAGUUGACGGGGGCCCGCACAAGCGGUGGGAGCAUGUGGUUUAAUUCGAAGCACGCGCAGAAACUUACAAGUCUUGACAUCCUCUGACAACCCUAUAGAUAGGGCUUCCCUCUGGGACAAAUGACACGUGUGCAUGGUGUCGUCACCUCCUGUCUGAGAUGUGGUUAAGUCCCGCACGAGCGCCACCCUUGGAUCUUAGUGCAGCAUCAGUUGGCACCUCUAAGGUGACUGCCGGUGACAACCGAGAAGUGAUGACGUCAAUCAUCAUGCCUUAUGACUGGCUACACACUGCUCUCAAUUGACGAACAAGGGCUGCGGAACGCCAGGUUAGCAUCUACGUUUCCAGUUCGGAUCGAACUCGAACUCUGCAACUGCGUGAAACUGUGAUACUCCAUGGAU
Molecule: ribosomal RNA, 1292 nt
Filed under: bacterium Chen8
Lineage: Bacteria
Description: partial 16S ribosomal RNA
Rfam family: Bacterial small subunit ribosomal RNA
Source: RNAcentral